CAAACCCCUGGGGAAUGUUUUGUCUGCGCACAUGGGAGAUAGAAAAUGGCAGAGGUCCUGAUUUUAUUGUUGGUGCAACAAGAGUAUGGAGAUGGACUCUACCCGUCCUGGACCCCUCUUUGGUGGUGCCACUGUCUAAAACUGCAGCAAAGUAAUGAAAGGAGAACCCCUGACCACCUCACCGCCUUUGAUGAAAUGACUGCAACUGCUGCCUUGAGAGUCAUGAAUAUUUGAAAAGCAGCAGGAUUUGGCACCUGCCCACACCGACCAUGCUAUCACUGCACUGGAUGAGAGACAUCAGAACCAACAAUUCAGAUGAGCUGAAGGCUGCUAUUAAAGCAAACUGGGUUUCCUGAACACCUCAGCAGGGAGCAAGGAGCCCCAACCAAGAACUGAGUUCUGAUACUGUACAUUAAAUGGACAUACUGUUCAGUAGAACCAAAAAACUUGUUUGUCGUCUGAUGUAAGACUCAAAUUUUCUGAAAAAUUAUUUUCUUUUUAUUAGCUGUAAACCAUAAUCAUCAAAAUAAACACAAAUAAUCUCUUAAAAUAUA
Molecule: long non-coding RNA, 554 nt
Organism: Girardinichthys multiradiatus
Lineage: Eukaryota; Metazoa; Chordata; Actinopteri; Cyprinodontiformes; Goodeidae
Exons: 3
Source: RefSeq, a predicted model, not a curated record